GCCGGGGUGGUGUAGCCUGGUAAGCAUUAGGGACUGUGGAUCCCUCGGCCCGGGUUCAAAUCCCGGCCCCGGCC
RNAcentral lists this transfer RNA (74 nucleotides) under Thermoplasmata archaeon. RNAcentral's name for it is "tRNA-His". It matches the Rfam family "tRNA". Rfam says of the family: Transfer RNA (tRNA) molecules are approximately 80 nucleotides in length. Their secondary structure includes four short double-helical elements and three loops (D, anti-codon, and T loops). Further hydrogen bonds mediate the characteristic L-shaped molecular structure. tRNAs have two regions of fundamental functional importance: the anti-codon, which is responsible for specific mRNA codon recognition, and the 3' end, to which the tRNAs corresponding amino acid is attached (by aminoacyl-tRNA synthetases). tRNAs cope with the degeneracy of the genetic code in two manners: having more than one tRNA (with a specific anti-codon) for a particular amino acid; and 'wobble' base-pairing, i.e. permitting non-standard base-pairing at the 3rd anti-codon position. The record is from RNAcentral. Lineage: Archaea; Methanobacteriati; Thermoplasmatota; Thermoplasmata. RNAcentral also lists the same sequence under 1 other name.